AACGAACGCUGGCGGCAGGCCUAACACAUGCAAGUCGAGCGGACCUUUCGGGGUCAGCGGCGGACGGGUGGGUAACGCGUGGGAAUAUGCCCUUCUCUACGGAAUAGUCCUGGGAAACUGUGGGUAAUACCGUAUACGCCCUUUGGGGGAAAGAUUUAUCGGGUAAGUAUUAGCCCGCGUUGGAUUAGGUAGUUGGUGGGGUAAUGGCCUACCAAGCCGGCGAUCCAUAGCUGGUUUGAGAGGAUGAUCAACCACACUGGGACUGAGACACGGCGCAGACGCCUACGGGAGGCAGCAAUGGGGAAUCUUAGACAAUGGGGGCAACCCUGAUGUAGCCAUGGCGCGUGAGUCAUGAAGGCCUUAGGGUUGUAAAGCUCUGUAAGAUGGGAAGCUAAUGACGGUACCAGAAGAAGAAGCCACGGCUAACUCCGUG
This 433-nucleotide ribosomal RNA is filed under the name uncultured bacterium. Its description in RNAcentral is "partial 16S ribosomal RNA". It matches the Rfam family "Bacterial small subunit ribosomal RNA", at positions 29 to 507 of the family's 1533-position model. The record is from RNAcentral.